This 1330-nucleotide long non-coding RNA is filed under the name Homo sapiens (human). Its description in RNAcentral is "HSALNT0283242". The record is from RNAcentral. Lineage: Eukaryota; Metazoa; Chordata; Mammalia; Primates; Hominidae.
GAAAAGGCCGGAACGCAUUAAUGGGCCAUUUAAGAACUGCCUGCCUCCUAAACCUAUUUUCAGACUGUGAAGCAGGAAGGCAGUGAGGCAUGGUAAAGGGCACUAAUUUGAAGUCAGAAGACCUGGGCUGUGCCAAUGACUCAUUGUAAUCUUGGGAAAGUCCUUUCCCUUCUCUAGACAUCAGGGUCUCAUUCACACUGGGUAAAGGGGUGGGGGUGGAAAGCAGGAAUUAGACUUGAUAACUACUAAAGGCCCUUUUAGAUUUGACAUUUUAGGCUUAAUUAUAACUCCACCUUCCACACCCAGGUGUGGAAUUAUAACUCCACCUCCCACAAUCUCCAGGAUGCACCAAAGGACCUAACUGGACCAAACCUCCGAGUUCUUGACUACAGCAUUCCACAUGAAUGGGAUCAUAUAACAGUGUAUUAGAUGCAUUAUUGGGACUGCUGGCAAUAUGUCCGAAUAAAAACUGCACCAGUCUGCAGCUCCCAGUGAUAUUGAUGAAAAAGAUUUAUUCUCCACUCCACGUGGCCACUGUCAGAGGAUAGAGGAGGUGUGGCAUCAGUGAUUCAAGACUGUAUUUUCUGCCAUCUUUCAGUGCCUCUUUCAGCAAUAUGGAGCUAAAGCCAUGUACCGUGAUUGCUCACCUGAUUUUUAGUUCCUAUGAAGAUGCUUUGUGUGUAAGUAUGUGCAGACAGAGUUAUUAAAUUGGUGUUCUUGCAGGGGGGACAAUCGGUGGAGCCUUCUAUUUGGCCAUCUUGUUCCACUCAUCUUGUUUUUAUUUCUUGUGGGUACAUACCUAGUAGUAAAAUUGAUGGACCAUAUGUAACUUUAUAUUAAAUAUUUGAGGAAGUGCCAGACUGUUUUUUAUAGUGGCUCUGCUAUUUUACAUUUCUUCCAGCAGUGUAUGUGUGCUCCAAACUUUCCACGUUGUUGACAACACUUAUUAUUGUUUUCUUUUUUUAUUAUUGUUUUCCCUUUUUUUAUUAUAGCCAUGUGCUAUAAAUAUGCUCAUUGACUAUGUUAAUUUUUUUGAUAAAUAUUUAUUUAAUUCCUUUGUCUAUUUAAAAAUACUGUGUUAUUUGGCUUUUUACUGUCAAGUGUUAAGAGGCUUUUAUGUAUUUUAUAUACAAAUUCCUUACCAAAAUUAUGCUUUCAAAACAUUUUCUCUCAUUCUUUGGGUUGUUUUUCACUUUUAUUAUGAUAUUUUUGAAGCAUAUAAACUUUUUAUUUCUGAUAAAGUCCAAUUUAUUAAUAGUUUGCUGUGUGUGCUUUGAAGUCAUACUGCAUUUUCACUAAAGGUCAUAAAGAUUUAUUCCUGUGUUGCUGU